UUUUUCUCACCUCAGUUUCAUGAAUAUUCAUAGUUCAAAAAGCCACGAUGAUCUUAAAGGAUAAUCUAAACAAAUAAUACGCUUUUCUUUCUAGCCAAAUCCGAGACUUGAAUGUUCAGAAUUGAAACGCCUUAGCAACAUACACAACGUAAAUAUCCGCUGGAAACCGACCAGAAAAUCUAAUUAGAAAAGGCGAGACAAAGUGA
Caenorhabditis elegans is the source of this 206-nucleotide non-coding RNA. The record is from Ensembl. Lineage: Eukaryota; Metazoa; Nematoda; Chromadorea; Rhabditida; Rhabditidae.